RNAcentral lists this unclassified non-coding RNA (275 nucleotides) under plant metagenome. RNAcentral's name for it is "partial contains small subunit ribosomal RNA, internal transcribed spacer 1, and 5.8S ribosomal RNA". The record is from RNAcentral.
UCUCCGUUGGUGAACCAGCGGAGGGAUCAUUACAGAGUUUAUUAUAACUCCUAAACCCAUGUGAACCUACCUUCUGUUGCCUCGGCAGGCAAGUCGUAUCUUGCUACCCUAUAGGACCCUAUCUUGUAAGACGUUACCUUAUAAGGUCCUAUCCGGUAGAGGGAUGCGGUACUACCUGCCGGUGGACUGAAAAAAAAUUCUGUUUAAUAAAUGGUAUUCUGAAUCAUUAUAUGGAAAUUAAGUUAAAACUUUCAACAACGGAUCUCUUGGUUCUG